This 72-nucleotide transfer RNA is filed under the name Camelus bactrianus (Bactrian camel). It matches the Rfam family "tRNA". Rfam says of the family: Transfer RNA (tRNA) molecules are approximately 80 nucleotides in length. Their secondary structure includes four short double-helical elements and three loops (D, anti-codon, and T loops). The record is from Rfam by way of RNAcentral. Lineage: Eukaryota; Metazoa; Chordata; Mammalia; Artiodactyla; Camelidae. RNAcentral also lists the same sequence under 1 other name.
AGGGACGUAGCUCAGUGGUAGAGCGCAUGCUUAACAUGCAUGAGGUCCUGGGUUCAAUCCUCAGCACCUCCA